CGCUGGGCUGUUUGGUGCUUUGACAUCUUGUCUCCAUGGCAGUGCUCAGCUGGCAGGGCUGAUCAGGGAGGCCUAUUCAUUAACUCGGGGAGCCCGGGCCAGCGCGGCCAUGCCGGUGCCGCGGUGGACUGAGCAGCUGCCGGGGCAGGCAGCGAGCAGGCAAAAUGGAUCUCACUCUCCUCUUGGCAGCAGUCCUGGGGCUCCUUAUUGUCAAGGCUGUUUUGUUUCAGCUGAGAAACCCGAGCUGCCCUCCUUGCAUCAGGAGCUGGAUCCCUUGGUUUGGAGCCGCGUUUCAGUUCGGGAAAGCUCCUCUGGAGUUUAUAGAGCAAGCUAGGAACAAGUAUGGACCCGUAUUCACAAUAUUCGCUCUGGGAAAACGAUUUACUUUUGUGACUGAGGAAGAAGGAACUGAAGCAUUUUUUAAAUCUGAAGACUUAAACUUUGAACAGGCAGUACAACAAGCUGUCAAGAAUGCAGUUUCUGUCCCUGCAGAAGCAUUUUAUCAGAAUCACGGUAACCUGUACAGCAUGAUGAAGGGGAAAAUGAGUCCUUCCAAUCUGCACAUGUUCACGGGCACUUUGUGUAAGGAGCUACAUGAGCACAUGGCUCAGCUGGGCAUGGAGGGCACAGGCGACCUCAAUGACCUGGUAAGGCAUGUCAUGUAUCCAGCAGUGGUGAACACCUUGUUUGGGAAAGGCAUCUGCCCGACAAGUCAGAGCAAAAUCAAGGAGUUUGAAGAACAUUUUCAGAAGUACGAUGAGGACUUUGAAUACGCUUCUCAGAUGCCUGAGUGCUUCCUGAGGAACUGGUCUAAAUCCAAAAAAUGGCUUCUAAAAUUAUUUGAGAAAGUAGUGUUGGAUGCUGAAAGGACCAACCCUUCAGACACCACAUCCAAGACACUACUGCAACAUCUUCUGGACAACUUGCAAGGAAAACAUUUAGCUCCCAAUUAUGGUCUCCUCAUGCUCUGGGCUGCCCAAGCAAAUGCUGUCCCCGUUGCAUUUUGGACCCUUGCUUUCAUACUGUCUCAUCCUUCCAUUUACAAGAAAGUCAUGGAAGACCUGGAUUCUGUUUUUGGCAAAGCAGGUAAAGAUAAACUGGAAGUCUCUGAAGAGGACCUGAAGAAGCUCCCUUUUAUUAAAUGGUGCACUUUGGAAGCCAUACGGCUGAGGUCUCCAGGUGCAAUCACCAAGAAAGUAAUAAACCCAAUUAAAAUUAAGAAUUUCACCAUCCCUGCAGGUGACAUGCUGAUGUUGUCGCCCUAUUGGUUGCACCGGAAUCCAAAAUAUUUUCCAGACCCAGAAACGUUCAAACCUGAUCGUUGGAAAGAGGCAAAUUUAGAGAAGAAUGCUUUCUUGGACAGCUUUGUGGCAUUUGGAGGAGGGAAGCAUCAGUGUCCAGGAAGGUGGUUUGCGAUCAUGGAAAUCCAGUUGUUCGUUGUUCUGUUCCUGUACAAGUAUGAAUUUGUGGCGUUGGAUGCAGUACCAAAGGAGAGCCCUUUACACUUGGUGGGGACACAGCAACCCAUGGCACCAUUCCGGGUCCAGUAUAAAUGCCGGGAAUAAAAGCUGCCCAGCACUAACCUUCCUUUCCCACCUACCUCCCCCCCGCGAUGGAUGAACCACUGAGCUGCUUCCCUAUCCUACACCUUCGGAUAAGUUCUCUGCCUGAAGAGUUCUUAAUUUCAACUUUCAAUGCUGCACAUACUCAGUAUUCACAUAUUCAAUGCUGAACUGUGCUCUGCCAUACCAGAAUAGUCAUACCUGUGCUCUGCACCUGGUUGCCCACGUCCUAGUGCUUAAAAUCCAAGCUCUCCUGCUGCAUUCAUACUUUCGGGGGCAGUUAUUCACAGAUUUUGCAAAUCUGAUAUGCUAAGCUUGCCAACCAAACAUUCAGGACAAAAAGCUGCAGUGUUUGGAAAUCCUGCGGGGAAGCUGUGCUAGAACCAGCUAGAAUGUGCAGGUUGCUUCAAACCAAGGCCAAAGUGGUGCCUCAUGUUAAGAAAUCAGAUUGGUAACACUGUACAUCUCCCUGGUGUUGGUGUGCACAAUAUCCAGGACAGUCUGAGCAGAGACCACCGGAUCAGUUCCACAGCCUGAUAAAGUAUCAUGACUUCUGUGCCACUGCCUCUGUGGGUAGGUGAAGAUCUGGCCUGCUCUGCCUGCAACAGGUGCCAACUUUUUGCAAAUAAAAUGCAUUUGUAAUGGAAAAAUUGCAAGCACUUAUUCCAUCGGAGCCCCUAAAAUUUCUACUGAGCAUUACUUGUUCCACAGGAUUCAGGAUCGGUCCUGGCAUGAAUAUACAAUGAAAGUUUGACUGGGAUGUUCAGCUCCCAAUAAAAAGUGACUGCAAGAAAAGACUGGUUGUCUAAUAUCUAGAACACUUUUGCUUUCCCUUUCACAUGACCUAUAGAACAAAUUGCACAAAUCUAAGAAUAUUCAAUCCUAUAAAGAAUACCUAGUAAAAGUUGUUUGAUGGAGCUGUCAAGUAAGCUCAGAUAACACUUUCACUGCUGUCAGAUUUCAUAUACAAUAAUAGCUGGCAUGUAUUUUUAGUCUUUUAAGUAAAGAUUAUUCAUCAUUUUAAAAGUAUUUGCAAAAAAAAAAAAAAUCCCACACAAAUAGACUUUCAACAACAGUAAAACUAUGGGAAUAACAAGCACAGGAAAAUAACACAUUGUAUAAUUCAUUACGUGGUUGGCUUACCUUUGUUAUGGAUAGAACAACUUCAAUGAUUUAUAUGGUUGGAAAAUGAUUCAUCCAACUUCUAAUUUAGCUCAUUAUAGUCAACUCUGCAAGAGUUGCACUCUUAACUGCUGUUUCAGUGUCUCUUCCAAAACUGAAAUCUAUUCCCUUGGUUUUCAUGUAUGGUAUUACUUAGAAGUGUAUAUUUUAAUUUUAAAAUUUGGCAAUCACUGCAAUAUCCGUAAGGCCAGGUGGGACAGGGCUUUGAGCAACCUGGUUUAGUGGAAGGUAUCCCUGUCUGUGGCAAGGGUUUGGAAUGAGAUGAUCUUUGAGGUCCCUUCCACCCCAAACCAUUCUGUGAUUCUGUGAUGAUUUUUCUAUAUAUUUUGCACCCCUUUUGCACAGACCUUUACCUUGAUGUGCCAGAGCAGGGAGCAGGAUGAGGCCAUUGGUGUUGCUUCUGUGAGUGCUGAGUGUUUCUGUCUGAGUUGGCCAGUGGGGCCAUCAUUGCAUACACGCGUUUUACACGUGUGUUUGUGUAUGUGCCUGCUGGGAAUCCAUGUGCAGCCUCACUACAGGCUGGGCCCAGAGCUACAGCAGCCUCACUUCUGUGAGGAUACAGGAUUUAGCAACUUGCUAAGCAGCUGAGAAUCAGACAUGAAAAUAUCUGUCCUGAAAGGCAUGACUUAUUUUUAUUAGAAAUGUGGGCAUUUGGCAGGAAAGAAAUACCUGUUUGUGGCAGAGAAAUACCAAAAUACCAAACAAGCAGGUAAAGAAAAGAGGGCUUGGCUCUGGGAUCCCAUCAGUGCCUGUGGUGGAUGACAGCUCCAGGCACUCACUGUACUUUCCUAGGUG
This is an RNA transcript of Chiroxiphia lanceolata (lance-tailed manakin), 3539 nucleotides long. It is a transcript of the gene named 24-hydroxycholesterol 7-alpha-hydroxylase, with no coding region annotated. NCBI's taxonomy places the organism in Eukaryota, Metazoa, Chordata, Aves, Passeriformes, Pipridae. The transcript has 13 exons. The record is from RefSeq and is a predicted model, not a curated record.